This 452-nucleotide ribosomal RNA is filed under the name uncultured bacterium. RNAcentral describes it as "bacterial SSU rRNA". It matches the Rfam family "Bacterial small subunit ribosomal RNA", at positions 8 to 507 of the family's 1533-position model. The record is from RNAcentral.
AGAGUUUGAUCCUGGCUCAGAACGAACGCUGGCGGCAGGCCUAACACAUGCAAGUCGAACGCUGACUUCGGUCAGAGUGGCGCACGGGUGAGUAACACGUGGGAACCUACCUUCGGUGCGGAACAACCCAGGGAAACUUGGGCUAAUACCGCAUACGACCUUCGGGUGAAAGAUUUAUCGCCGAGGGAAGGGCCCGCGUCCGAUUAGGUAGUUGGUGAGGUAACGGCUCACCAAGCCUUCGAUCGGUACCUGGUCUGAGAGGAUGAUCAGGCACACUGGGACUGAGACACGGCCCAGACUCCUACGGGAGGCAGCAGUGGGGAAUAUUGGACAAUGGGCGAAAGCCUGAUCCAGCCAUGCCGCGUGAGUGAUGAAGGCCUUCGGGUUGUAAAGCUCUUUCACCCACGACGAUGAUGACGGUAGUGGGAGAAGAAGCCCCGGCUAACUUCGUG